GACGGAGGAUGCAAGCGUUAUCCGGAAUGAUUGGGCGUAAAGCGUCCGCAGGUGGCAGUUCAAGUCUGCUGUCAAAGACCGGGGCUUAACUUCGGGAAGGCAGUGGAAACUGAACAGCUAGAGUAUGGUAGGGGCAGAGGGAAUUCCUGGUGUAGCGGUGAAAUGCGUAGAGAUCAGGAAGAACAUCGGUGGCGAAGGCGCUCUGCUGGACCAUAACCGACACUCAGGGACGAAAGCUAGGGGAGCGAAUGGG
This 253-nucleotide ribosomal RNA is filed under the name uncultured bacterium. RNAcentral describes it as "partial 16S ribosomal RNA". It matches the Rfam family "Bacterial small subunit ribosomal RNA", at positions 524 to 776 of the family's 1533-position model. The record is from RNAcentral.